GCAGUCGAGCGGUAGAGAGAAGCUUGCUUCUCUUGAGAGCGGCGGACGGGUGAGUAAUGCCUAGGAAUCUGCCUGGUAGUGGGGGAUAACGUUCGGAAACGGACGCUAAUACCGCAUACGUCCUACGGGAGAAAGCAGGGGACCUUCGGGCCUUGCGCUAUCAGAUGAGCCUAGGUCGGAUUAGCUAGUUGGUGAGGUAAUGGCUCACCAAGGCGACGAUCCGUAACUGGUCUGAGAGGAUGAUCAGUCACACUGGAACUGAGACACGGUCCAGACUCCUACGGGAGGCAGCAGUGGGGAAUAUUGGACAAUGGGCGAAAGCCUGAUCCAGCCAUGCCGCGUGUGUGAAGAAGGUCUUCGGAUUGUAAAGCACUUUAAGUUGGGAGGAAGGGCAUUAACCUAAUACGUUAGUGUUUUGACGUUACCGACAGAAUAAGCACCGGCUAACUCUGUGCCAGCAGCCGCGGUAAUACAGAGGGUGCAAGCGUUAAUCGGAAUUACUGGGCGUAAAGCGCGCGUAGGUGGUUUGUUAAGUUGGAUGUGAAAUCCCCGGGCUCAACCUGGGAACUGCAUUCAAAACUGACUGACUAGAGUAUGGUAGAGGGUGGUGNAAUUUCCUGUGUAGCGGUGAAAUGCGUAGAUAUAGGAAGGAACACCAGUGGCGAANGCGANCACCUGGACUAAUACUGACACU
Molecule: ribosomal RNA, 694 nt
Filed under: Pseudomonas fluorescens
Lineage: Bacteria; Pseudomonadati; Pseudomonadota; Gammaproteobacteria; Pseudomonadales; Pseudomonadaceae
Description: bacterial SSU rRNA
Rfam family: Bacterial small subunit ribosomal RNA
Source: RNAcentral